RNAcentral lists this ribosomal RNA (243 nucleotides) under uncultured bacterium. RNAcentral's name for it is "partial 16S ribosomal RNA". It matches the Rfam family "Archaeal small subunit ribosomal RNA", at positions 474 to 714 of the family's 1478-position model. The record is from RNAcentral.
UACCAGCACCCCGAGUGGUCGGGACGUUUAUUGGGCCUAAAGCAUCCGUAGCCGGUUCUACAAGUCUUCCGUUAAAUCCACCUGCUUAACAGAUGGGCUGCGGAAGAUACUAUAGAGCUAGGAGGCGGGAGAGGCAAGCGGUACUCGAUGGGUAGGGGUAAAAAUCCGUUGAUCCAUUGAAGACCACCAGUGGCGAAGGCGGCUUCCAGAAACGCGCUCGACGGUUGAGGGGAUGAAAGCUGG